GUGAACCUGCGGAAGGAUCAUUACCGAGUGUAGGGUUCCUAGCGAGCCCAACCUCCCACCCGUGUUUACUGUACCUUAGUUGCUUCGGCGGGCCCGCCAUUCAUGGCCGCCGGGGGCUCUCAGCCCCGGGCCCGCGCCCGCCGGAGACACCACGAACUCUGUCUGAUCUAGUGAAGUCUGAGUUGAUUGUAUCGCAAUCAGUUAAAACUUUCAACAAUGGAUCUCUUGGUUCCGGCAUCGAUGAAGAACGCAGCGAAAUGCGAUAACUAGUGUGAAUUGCAGAAUUCCGUGAAUCAUCGAGUCUUUGAACGCACAUUGCGCCCCCUGGUAUUCCGGGGGGCAUGCCUGUCCGAGCGUCAUUGCUGCCCAUCAAGCACGGCUUGUGUGUUGGGUCGUCGUCCCCUCUCCGGGGGGGACGGGCCCCAAAGGCAGCGGCGGCACCGCGUCCGAUCCUCGAGCGUAUGGGGCUUUGUCACCCGCUCUGUAGGCCCGGCCGGCGCUUGCCGAACGCAAAUCAAUCUU
RNAcentral lists this ribosomal RNA (522 nucleotides) under Aspergillus flavus. RNAcentral's name for it is "eukaryotic LSU rRNA". The stretch from base 206 to 359 matches the Rfam family "5.8S ribosomal RNA". The record is from RNAcentral. Lineage: Eukaryota; Fungi; Ascomycota; Eurotiomycetes; Eurotiales; Aspergillaceae.